UGGUGGAGCGAUUUGUCUGGUUAAUUCCGAUAACAACGAGACUCUGGCCUAUUAAAUAGUUCGCCGAUUCCGAUCUGUCGGCGUUAACUUCUUAGAGGGACAAGUGGCUUUUAGCCACGCGAGAUUGAGCAAUAACA
This 137-nucleotide ribosomal RNA is filed under the name uncultured eukaryote. Its description in RNAcentral is "partial 18S ribosomal RNA". It matches the Rfam family "Eukaryotic small subunit ribosomal RNA", at positions 1299 to 1458 of the family's 1831-position model. The record is from RNAcentral.